GUGCUCACUUUGGCAGCAUAUAUACUAAAACAGAGAAGAUUAGCAUGGCCCCUGCGCAAGGAUGCCAUGAAAAUUCCUGAAGCUUUCUAUAUUUUU
Molecule: small nuclear RNA, 96 nt
Filed under: Catagonus wagneri (Chacoan peccary)
Lineage: Eukaryota; Metazoa; Chordata; Mammalia; Artiodactyla; Tayassuidae
Source: RNAcentral